CUGGACAUAAUAAUCAUCUUUAUAUUAGUUAAGUAAAUAACAAAAUAAAACUUUCAAAAAUUUCAACACAGACCAUUAUUAAGUACAAAAAAACAAAAAACUAAUGCUAAAGAAAGUAUUAACAAAACAAAUUAUUGUUAUUUACAUUUAAAAAGAACUAUACACAAAAUUAAUAUCUUUAUACCUGCUCUCUUUCUUGAAAACACCUUCUCUACACAAUAAACCAUUAACAAAAAUUAAACUAAUACUCUUGUUGUUGUUAGUUUCAUUUAAAUUUAAAAAUAAAAAAAAAGUAAGAAAAAAAUUAGAAAUAUACCUGUCUUUCUUUCAAACACACCCUUUUACAAAAUAAAAAAAAAACCGAAAAACUUAACACAACCAUUUAUAAAAUAAACAAAUGAAAAACAAAAAAUAAAAUAAAAUUCACAUGCAAACCUUCUUCUUCCUUCUUCUUCACGGUUCUACCAAGCAAAACUAAACUUUUUUUCUUCUUCUUUCAAUACAACCACAAACGGUGGUCCAUACAAGUCAUAUAUAUGCAUGCAUAAAAAAAAAAUUGAUUUUGGCUUAGGCUCGUGACCAUGCGGUCACCUCAGCAGAUUGAGGGUAAGUUUGGAUGGACAGUGCAUUUACCUGCGAUUAGUGUAAAAACAGUGGUGGCGAUGAGAUUAGAUAUUGUAGCGAUACUGUAACCUGAGACAAAAAGUAAACUAAACGUACCGUACUGCACUCAAUUGCCCAUCUAAACCCACCCUGAUGCCGCCUGCUGUCAAACCUCCACCAGACCGAUGCUGCCUAUGGGUACCCCUCUAUAGCCCUCCAAGUAUCGAUGCCAUAUACGAAUUCCUAUAAUACAAUGUUAAUUUUUGUUUUCCUUCCCUCUCCACCUUUAAAAUAUAAUUUAAAAAAAAUCAAAUAAAAUGGGUAUAGCUCAUCUCUCCCCCUUUGCCCUUGGUACUGUUUUAAAAAUACUAUGUUAAUAAAUAAUAAUAUUCACAUAUAAUUUCAGUAUUUAAUUUUUUUAUUUGUAUUAUACACUUAAAAGAGCCAGAUAAUUCAUUUAAUAUUGCCCUAAGCCUAACCCAAAACCAAAGGCAAGGUCAUGUAAGCCGAUCUCGUCUUCUCUUAUAUCCCUCCCCACAACCAGAGAUUGAUAUUGGAAUCAUCACCAGAUUCUUCUCAUAACUCUAGAGAAAUUGGACACAACUUUAAAAUAACAAGGAUGAGAAGUGCAGCAGCAGAAGGAGAAGGCAAUCGUAUCAUACAUAUUAUGGAAGGAAACGAGAACCACUUAGCUUCCAUGCACCGGAAAAUCUCCGAGCCGCCGCGUUUGCUGACCAUCAGUGCCGGAAGGCCCUCAUGCUGCAUCUUCAGAGUCCCAGAGAGCCUGGUUGAGGUCAACGGCCA
Molecule: long non-coding RNA, 1407 nt
Filed under: Gossypium barbadense (sea-island cotton)
Lineage: Eukaryota; Viridiplantae; Streptophyta; Magnoliopsida; Malvales; Malvaceae
Description: long non-coding RNA (GBAR_LNC015594)
Source: RNAcentral